Molecule: long non-coding RNA, 173 nt
Organism: Nothoprocta perdicaria
Lineage: Eukaryota; Metazoa; Chordata; Aves; Tinamiformes; Tinamidae
Exons: 3
Source: RefSeq, a predicted model, not a curated record
UGGAAGCCCCAAGACACAUGAAUUAAUGGAUCCUACUAAACUUGGAUUGUUUACCGAAGAGCUUGAUGUGUGGGCUGCUGACUAUCUGUUUCCAAUGCUGACUGUGUGUAACCGCCUGUUCAUGGAGUUGCUGUUUCUGAGUGCUGGCCUUCCUACCUCACAUCUAUGAGCUG